CCAGCACGUAAUGGUGGGCACUCUAAGGAGACUGCCGGUGACAAACCGGAGGAAGGUGGGGAUGACGUCAAGUCAUCAUGGCCCUUACGGCCUGGGCUACACACGUGCUACAAUGGUCGGUACAGAGGGUUGCCAAGCCGCGAGGUGGAGCUAAUCCCAGAAAACCGAUCGUAGUCCGGAUCGCAGUCUGCAACUCGACUGCGUGAAGUCGGAAUCGCUAGUAAUCGCGAAUCAGAAUGUCGCGGUGAAUACGUUCCCGGGCCUUGUACACACCGCCCGUCACACCAUGGGAGUGGGUUGCACCAGAAGUAGCUAGUCUAACCCUCGGGAGG
RNAcentral lists this ribosomal RNA (332 nucleotides) under Pseudomonas sp. Its description in RNAcentral is "bacterial SSU rRNA". It matches the Rfam family "Bacterial small subunit ribosomal RNA", at positions 1118 to 1449 of the family's 1533-position model. The record is from RNAcentral. Lineage: Bacteria; Pseudomonadati; Pseudomonadota; Gammaproteobacteria; Pseudomonadales; Pseudomonadaceae.